GAGCGGCGAACGGGUGAGUAACACGUGAGCAACCUGCCCCUGACUCUGGGAUAAGCGGUGGAAACGCCGUCUAAUACCGGAUACGACCUUCCGUCUCAUGAUGGUGGGUGGAAAGUUUUUCGGUCAGGGAUGGGCUCGCGGCCUAUCAGCUUGUUGGUGGGGUAACGGCCUACCAAGGCGAUUACGGGUAGCCGGCCUGAGAGGGCGACCGGCCACACUGGGACUGAGACACGGCCCAGACUCCUGCGGGAGGCAGCAGUGGGGAAUAUUGCGCAAUGGGCGGAAGCCUGACGCAGCGACGCCGCGUGGGGGAUGACGGCCUUCGGGUUGUAAACCUCUUUUACCACCAACGCAGGCCCGGGGUUCUCUCCGGGUUGACGGUAGGUGGGGAAUAAGGACCGGCUAACUACGUGCCAGCAGCCGCGGUAAUACGUAGGGUCCGAGCGUUGUCCGGAAUUAUUGGGCGUAAAGAGCUCGUAGGCGGCGUGUCGCGUCUGCUGUGAAA
RNAcentral lists this ribosomal RNA (505 nucleotides) under Nocardiopsis sp. RNAcentral's name for it is "bacterial SSU rRNA". It matches the Rfam family "Bacterial small subunit ribosomal RNA", at positions 93 to 599 of the family's 1533-position model. Lineage: Bacteria; Bacillati; Actinomycetota; Actinomycetes; Streptosporangiales; Nocardiopsidaceae. The record is from RNAcentral.